CGGGCUUGAGUGCGGUAGGGGAGACUGGAAUUCCCGGUGUAACGGUGGAAUGUGUAGAUAUCGGGAAGAACACCAAUGGCGAAGGCAGGUCUCUGGGCCGUUACUGACGCUGAGGAGCGAAAGCGUGGGGAGCGAACAGGAUUAGAUACCCUGGUAGUCCACGCCGUAAACGGUGGAUGCUGGAUGUGGGGCCCGUUCCACGGGUUCCGUGUCGGAGCUAACGCGUUAAGCAUCCCGCCUGGGGAGUACGGCCGCAAGGCUAAAACUCAAAGAAAUUGACGGGGGCCCGCACAAGCGGCGGAGCAUGCGGAUUAAUUCGAUGCAACGCGAAGAACCUUACCUGGGCUUGACAUGUUCCCGACGGUCGUAGAGAUACGGCUUCCCUUCGGGGCGGGUUCACAGGUGGUGCAUGGUCGUCGUCAGCUCGUGUCGUGAGAUGUUGGGUUAAGUCCCGCAACGAGCGCAACCCUCGCCCCGUGUUGCCAGCGGAUUAUGCCGGGAACUCACGGGGGACCGCCGGGGUUAACUCGGAGGAAGGUGGGGAUGACGUCAGAUCAUCAUGCCCCUUACGUCCAGGGCUUCACGCAUGCUACAAUGGCCGGUACAACGGGAUGCGACGCGGCGACGCGGAGCGGAUCCCUGAAAACCGGUCUCAGUUCGGAUCGCAGUCUGCAACUCGACUGCGUGAAGGCGGAGUCGCUAGUAAUCGCGAAUCAGCAACGUCGCGGUGAAUGCGUUCCCGGGCCUUGUACACACCGCCCGUCAAGUCAUGAAAGUGGGCAGCACCCGAAGCCGGUGGCCUAACCCCUUGUGGGAUGGAGCCGUCUAAGGUGAGGCUCGUGAUUGGGACUAAGUCGUAACAAGGUAGCCGUACCGGAAGGUGCGGCUG
Molecule: ribosomal RNA, 889 nt
Filed under: human gut metagenome
Description: bacterial SSU rRNA
Rfam family: Bacterial small subunit ribosomal RNA
Source: RNAcentral